AUACGGAGGGUGCAAGCGUUAAUCGGAAUUACUGGGCGUAAAGCGUACGUAGGCGGCAAGGUAAGUUAGAUGUGAAAGCCCCGGGCUCAACCUGGGAACUGCAUUUAAAACUGGCUUGCUAGAGUUGAGUAGAGGGGAGUGGAAUUUCAGGUGUAGCGGUGAAAUGCGUAGAGAUCUGAAGGAACACCAGUGGCGAAGGCGACUCCCUGGACUCGAACUGACGCUGAGGUACGAAAGCGUGGGUAGCAAACGGGAUUAGAUACCCUAGUAGUCC
This 274-nucleotide ribosomal RNA is filed under the name uncultured bacterium. RNAcentral's name for it is "partial 16S ribosomal RNA". It matches the Rfam family "Bacterial small subunit ribosomal RNA", at positions 523 to 796 of the family's 1533-position model. The record is from RNAcentral.